RNAcentral lists this transfer RNA (70 nucleotides) under Bos taurus (domestic cattle). It matches the Rfam family "tRNA". Rfam says of the family: Transfer RNA (tRNA) molecules are approximately 80 nucleotides in length. RNAcentral also lists the same sequence under 3 other names. Lineage: Eukaryota; Metazoa; Chordata; Mammalia; Artiodactyla; Bovidae. The record is from Rfam by way of RNAcentral.
CCCUGUGGCUCAGAUGGUAAAGAAUCUGCCUGCAAUGCAGGGGACCCAGGUUCAAUCCCUGGAUCAGGAA